Molecule: ribosomal RNA, 253 nt
Filed under: uncultured Bellilinea sp.
Lineage: Bacteria; Bacillati; Chloroflexota; Anaerolineae; Anaerolineales; Anaerolineaceae
Description: partial 16S ribosomal RNA
Rfam family: Bacterial small subunit ribosomal RNA
Source: RNAcentral
AACGUAGGAGACGAGCGUUAUCCGGAUUUACUGGGCGUAAAGCGCGUGUAGGCGGUUCGGCAAGUUGGAUGUGAAAUCUCCCGGCUCAACUGGGAGGGGUCGUUCAAUACUACCGGACUUGAGAGCAGUAGAGGAAGGUGGAAUUCCCGGUGUAGUGGUGAAAUGCGUAGAUAUCGGGAGGAACACCAGUGGCGAAAGCGGCCUUCUGGACUGUUUCUGACGCUCAGACGCGAAAGCUAGGGUAGCGAACGGG